CAGUAACGGCGAGUGAAGCGGCAACAGCUCAAAUUUGAAAUCUGGCCCCCUCGGGGUCCGAGUUGUAAUUUGCAGAGGGAGCUUUUGGCGUCGGUCGUGGUCUAAGUUCCUUGGAACAGGACGUCACAGAGGGUGAGAAUCCCGUACGUGGCCGCCGGCCUUCGCCUUGUAAAGCCCCUUCGACGAGUCGAGUUGUUUGGGAAUGCAGCUCUAAAUGGGAGGUAAAUUUCUUCUAAAGCUAAAUACCCGCCAGAGACCGAUAGCGCACAAGUAGAGUGAUCGAAAGAUGAAAAGCACUUUGGAAAGAGAGUGAAAAAGCACGUGAAAUUGUUGAAAGGGAAGCGCUUGCAGCCAGACGUGCCCGCAGUUGAUCAUCCAGGCUCCGGCCCGGUGCACUCCUCUGCGGGCAGGCCAGCAUCAGUUCGGGCGGUCGGAUAAAGGCCUCUGUCAUGUACCACCCCCCGGGGUGGCCUUAUAGGGGAGGCGCAACACGGCCAGCCUGGACUGAGGUUCCGCGCAUCUGCUAGGAUGCUGGCGUAAUGGCGGCAAGCGGCCCGUCUUGAAACACGGACCAAGGAGUCUAACAUCUAUGCGAGUGUUUGGGUGUCAAGCCCGAGCGCGUAAUGAAAGUGAACGGAGGUGGGAACCCUUACCGGUGCACCAUCGACCGAUCCUGAUGUCUUCGGAUGGAUUUGAGUAAGAGCAUAGCUGUUGGGACCCGAAAGAUGGUGAACUAUGCCUGAAUAGGGUGAAGCCAGAGGAAACUCUGGUGGAGGCUCGCAGCGGUUCUGACGUGCAAAUCGAUCGUCAAAUUUGGGCAUAGGGGCGAAAGACUAAUC
Molecule: ribosomal RNA, 839 nt
Filed under: Torula suae
Lineage: Eukaryota; Fungi; Ascomycota; Dothideomycetes; Pleosporales; Torulaceae
Description: Torula sp. WW-2022b partial large subunit ribosomal RNA
Rfam family: Eukaryotic large subunit ribosomal RNA
Source: RNAcentral